RNAcentral lists this transfer RNA (74 nucleotides) under Deltaproteobacteria bacterium. RNAcentral's name for it is "tRNA-Pro". It matches the Rfam family "tRNA". From Rfam's summary of the family: Transfer RNA (tRNA) molecules are approximately 80 nucleotides in length. Their secondary structure includes four short double-helical elements and three loops (D, anti-codon, and T loops). Further hydrogen bonds mediate the characteristic L-shaped molecular structure. tRNAs have two regions of fundamental functional importance: the anti-codon, which is responsible for specific mRNA codon recognition, and the 3' end, to which the tRNAs corresponding amino acid is attached (by aminoacyl-tRNA synthetases). tRNAs cope with the degeneracy of the genetic code in two manners: having more than one tRNA (with a specific anti-codon) for a particular amino acid; and 'wobble' base-pairing, i.e. permitting non-standard base-pairing at the 3rd anti-codon position. Lineage: Bacteria; Pseudomonadati; Myxococcota; Myxococcia. RNAcentral also lists the same sequence under 1 other name. The record is from RNAcentral.
CGGGGCGUAGCGCAGUCUGGUAGCGCACCUGCUUUGGGAGCAGGGGGUCGGAGGUUCGAGUCCUCUCGCCCCGA